This 253-nucleotide ribosomal RNA is filed under the name uncultured bacterium. Its description in RNAcentral is "partial 16S ribosomal RNA". It matches the Rfam family "Bacterial small subunit ribosomal RNA", at positions 524 to 776 of the family's 1533-position model. The record is from RNAcentral.
UACGAAGGUGGCAAGCGUUGUUCGGAUUUACUGGGCGUACAGGGAGCGUAGGCGGUUGGAUAAGCCCUCCGUGAAAUCUCCAGGCUUAACCUGGAAAGUGCAGAGGGGACUGUUCAGCUAGAGGAUGGGAGAGGAGCGCGGAAUUCCCGGUGUAGCGGUGAAAUGCGUAGAUAUCGUUUGGAACGCCAACGGUGAAAACAGACAGCUGGGAGUGUGCUGACGCUGAGACACGAAAGCCAGGGGAGCGAACGGG